Molecule: unclassified non-coding RNA, 336 nt
Filed under: Hevea brasiliensis (rubber tree)
Lineage: Eukaryota; Viridiplantae; Streptophyta; Magnoliopsida; Malpighiales; Euphorbiaceae
Source: RNAcentral
GUUGGAGAAGGGCCAGUGUAUCCCUGAACUCUUACUAAAUCCUAUCUCUUUGUACCCAUCACAAUUAACCUCUUCCUUGACCACAGCCAAUGGUUCCUUUGAGUUCAGACCCAUAAAAUCUCUCUCCAUUUUACCUCUCCUACCUCUCAAAAAACGAGAACACAAAAUUUAACUGAAACCCACCUCACCAAACUAGUCCGAAGACUGUAAAUUCACAGAUCAAUCCCUCCAAUCCUAUCCCAAACCUCAGUUUAUAGAGAGGAACUAGAGAGAGAAAAACCAAAACAAAAGCUUCCAACUACAGCAAAAGGCAGAGAGAGAGAGAGAGAGAGAGAG